AUACUGUGAGCUCGAUGAGUAGGGCGGGACACGUGGUAUCCUGUCUGAAUAUGGGGGGACCAUCCUCCAAGGCUAAAUACUCCUGACUGACCGAUAGUGAACCAGUACCGUGAGGGAAAGGCGAAAAGAACCCCGGCGAGGGGAGUGAAAAAGAACCUGAAACCGUGUACGUACAAGCAGUGGGAGCCUCUUUUAUGGGGUGACUGCGUACCUUUUGUAUAAUGGGUCAGCGACUUAUAUUCUGUAGCAAGGUUAACCGAAUAGGGGAGCCGAAGGGAAACCGAGUCUUAACUGGGCGUUAAGUUGCAGGGUAUAGACCCGAAACCCGGUGAUCUAGCCAUGGGCAGGUUGAAGGUUGGGUAACACUAACUGGAGGACCGAACCGACUAAUGUUGAAAAAUUAGCGGAUGACUUGUGGCUGGGGGUGAAAGGCCAAUCAAACCGGGAGAUAGCUGGUUCUCCCCGAAAGCUAUUUAGGUAGCGCCUCGUGAAUUCAUCUCCGGGGGUAGAGCACUGUUUCGGCAAGGGGGUCAUCCCGACUUACCAACCCGAUGCAAACUGCGAAUACCGGAGAAUGUUAUCACGGGAGACACACGGCGGGUGCUAACGUCCGUCGUGAAGAGGGAAACAACCCAGACCGCCAGCUAAGGUCCCAAAGUCAUGGUUAAGUGGGAAACGAUGUGGGAAGGCCCAGACAGCCAGGAUGUUGGCUUAGAAGCAGCCAUCAUUUAAAGAAAGCGUAAUAGCUCACUGGUCGAGUCGGCCUGCGCGGAAGAUGUAACGGGGCUAAACCAUGCACCGAAGCUGCGGCAGCGAC
Molecule: ribosomal RNA, 817 nt
Filed under: Escherichia coli
Lineage: Bacteria; Pseudomonadati; Pseudomonadota; Gammaproteobacteria; Enterobacterales; Enterobacteriaceae
Description: partial 23S ribosomal RNA
Rfam family: Bacterial large subunit ribosomal RNA
Source: RNAcentral